UGGGGAAUAUUGCACAAUGGGCGCAAGCCUGAUGCAGCCAUGCCGCGUGUGUGAAGAAGGCCUUCGGGUUGUAAAGCACUUUCAGCGAGGAGGAAGGUGGUGAACUUAAUACGUUCAUCAAUUGACGUUACUCGCAGAAGAAGCACCGGCUAACUCUGUGCCAGCAGCCGCGGUAAUACGGAGGGUGCAAGCGUUAAUCGGAAUUACUGGGCGUAAAGCGCACGCAGGCGGUUUGUUAAGUCAGAUGUGAAAUCCCCGGGCUCAACCUGGGAACUGCAUUUGAAACUGGCAAGCUAGAGUCUCGUAGAGGGGGGUAGAAUUCCAGGUGUAGCGGUGAAAUGCGUAGAGAUCUGGAGGAAUACCGGUGGCGAAGGCGGCCCCCCUGGACGAAGACUGACGCUCAGGUGCGAAAGCGUGGGGCAGCAAACAGGAUUAGAUACCCUGGUAGUCCACGCUGUAAACGAUGUCGAUUUGGAGGUUGUGCCCCUUGAGGCGUGGCUUCCGGAGCUAACGCGUUAAAUCGACCGCCUGGGGAGUACGGCCGCAAGGUUAAAACUUAAAGGAAUUG
Molecule: ribosomal RNA, 568 nt
Filed under: uncultured bacterium
Lineage: Bacteria
Description: partial 16S ribosomal RNA
Rfam family: Bacterial small subunit ribosomal RNA
Source: RNAcentral